This is a long non-coding RNA of Amblyraja radiata (thorny skate), 102 nucleotides long. RefSeq lists it as uncharacterized. The transcript has 3 exons. NCBI's taxonomy places the organism in Eukaryota, Metazoa, Chordata, Chondrichthyes, Rajiformes, Rajidae. The record is from RefSeq and is a predicted model, not a curated record.
AAUCUGUGGUGCUCAUCUGAGAUGUAUCUCAGUGCUUAUAUAUAGUGAUACUUGUUCGGAUCUGUAUAUAAAAGUCAAUUUCUCUGUACCUCAGUAUUCGAG